Molecule: ribosomal RNA, 541 nt
Filed under: Triticum aestivum (bread wheat)
Lineage: Eukaryota; Viridiplantae; Streptophyta; Magnoliopsida; Poales; Poaceae
Description: partial small subunit ribosomal RNA
Source: RNAcentral
GGACAAACCCUCGCCCCGUUCCCCCCUCUCCGUCGCUCGUCCUCUUCUGUGCAACGCGCGCAGCCGCAGCCGUUGCCACGGCCUUGCCGUCCGCGUGGCCAACGUCGUCCCCGCGCUAAAUUAGCUUGUUCCCCGGCUCCCCCUUCGUCGUCUACAUCACCUGCGAGGACCAGCUCGAGCCCCCUCGCGCUGCAUCGCCUGGAUCGAGUCAUCUUCUACCUCCGGUCGCCACUCAUCGCUGCUUCGAUUUGUCGCCUCCAAGCCUUCCCCGAGCUUGCUUUGCACCUCUACAGGUUCGCGAUGCUGGAGUCUAGGAGCUAGAGACCCCGAGGAUGAUUCUACGUGGAGUUCGGCUUCGAGGAGUAGUUAGGAGGUCCCAGGCAGGAGGCCUUGCCUUUUCGAUUGUUGCUACUUUUGUGCUAGCCUUCUUAAGGCAAAUUUGUUUAACUGAUGUCUGUACUCAGAUAUUGUUGCUUCCGCUGACUCGUCUAUGAUCGAGCACUUGUAUUCGAGCCCUCGAGGCCCCUGGCUUGUAUUAUGA